Long non-coding RNA from Ceratina calcarata, 390 nucleotides. RefSeq lists it as uncharacterized. The record is from RefSeq and is a predicted model, not a curated record. Lineage: Eukaryota; Metazoa; Arthropoda; Insecta; Hymenoptera; Apidae. The transcript is spliced from 2 exons.
AGAUCUAGAAACAGUAGUUCUAAAGGAGGAGAAAGAUAUAGGUAUCGUUCUAGAUCAAGGUCUUCGGAUCGUUCAAAAAGAAAAACCAGAUCCAUUUCAAGAGAAAAGUCUGGGAGUCGUUCGAGCAGUUCACAAUCUAAUGUUAAAGCUACCAUAUUCGAAAAGUCCAAAAAUAUUCUAAUUAAAGAUGAUUUUCCUAUUGAACCACGUUUCAAAGAAGGUGUGUUAGACGAAAUCAAUUCUGAAGGUUUCACACCCAAACAGUUUUCAUCGUCUAAUACAAAAGAAAAGAAAUUCAAAAAUAUUGUGAUAGAUAUAAGUGCAGAUACUAUACAAGUUCCGACAGUGGCUGAAAUUCCGUCUGGAUCUGAAAGUAUCUUCCAUUCAUCG